CAGUCGCCGCGGUAAUACGAAGGGGGCUAGCGUUGCUCGGAAUUACUGGGCGUAAAGGGCGCGUAGGCGGACAGUUAAGUCGGGGGUGAAAGCCCGGGGCUCAACCUCGGAAUUGCCUUCGAAACUGGCUGUCUUGAGUACGGGAGAGGUGAGUGGAACUCCGAGUGUAGAGGUGAAAUUCGUAGAUAUUCGGAAGAACACCAGUGGCGAAGGCGACUCACUGGCCCGUUACUGACGCUGAGGCGCGAAAGCGUGGGGAGCAAACAGGAUUAGAUACCCCUGUAGUCCCUGUCUCUUAUAC
RNAcentral lists this ribosomal RNA (301 nucleotides) under uncultured bacterium. RNAcentral's name for it is "partial 16S ribosomal RNA". It matches the Rfam family "Bacterial small subunit ribosomal RNA", at positions 509 to 807 of the family's 1533-position model. The record is from RNAcentral.